UACAAUCCAAUAUUUAUUUAAUUCAUAUAUCAUUAACACAACAUGACUAAUUAAACAUUGUAAUUUACAAGCAUCUCAAAAAUACAUUGAAUAUUAAACUUAAAAAAUAAAUUUUCAACAUUAGCAUCUUCAAACUCCAAAUUUUCAACACUAACUAGUAUCUUCAAAUUCCAAAAUAAAAUUUAAACACAAAACUUCAACAUUCUAAGAUUCGCUCCAACCACACAAUUACAUCAUCAUAAUUGAAUAUCCUUGCAUCUAUGGGCGAAAUGUGUCCACUAGCAGCAUCACUUGGCUACAUAAAAAUGCAAAGUAUAAAAACCAAUCAGAUAAACUUUCAGUCCUUAUUACAUUUAUAUCUGCAUAACAACUAAAAAAUAUUAUGAUAAAUAUAAAUAGAUCAAUCACAAGUUCGCAAUUUCAAGUUACUACACUUAAUCAUUUUCAAGUCACUAUACUUAAUAAUUUUCAAAUAACUUAUUCACUAGUAUGCAUUUUAAGUCACUACACUAAAACCAUUUUCAAAUAGCUAAUUGACAUUUUUAAGUCACUAAACCAUUUCGAAGUACUACACUUAACCAUUUUCAAGUCAUUACACUUGACCAUUUUUAAAUAACUAGUAGACAUUUCAAGUCACUACAUUUAACCAUUUUCAAAUAACUAAUUCACAUUGCAAGUCACUACACUUAACCAUUUUCAAAUAAUUAAUUUACAUUUCAAGUCACUAUACUUAACCAUUUUCCAAUAACUAAUUCACAUUGCAAGUCACUACACUUAAUCAUUUUCAAAUAAUUAAUUCACAUUUCAAAUCACUAUACUUAACCAUUUUCAAGUAACUACUUCACAUUUCAAAUAACUAUACUUUAUCAUUUUUAAGUCACUACACUUAAUCACUCAUUUCAAGUCACUAAACCACUUUCAAAUAACUAAUUCACAUUUCAAGUAACUACACUUAACUAUUUUCAAGACACUAGUUCACAAUUUCAAGUAACUACACCUAACCGUUUUCAAGUCACAAGUUUGCAAUUUCAAGUAACUACACUUAAUAAUUUUUAAAUAACUUAUUCAUAUUUCAAGUCACUACACUCAAACCAUGUUCAAAUAGCUAAUUGACAUUUCAAGUCACUAUAAACAUUUUCAAAACACUAAACCAUUUUCAACUCUCUAAUUCACAUUUCAAGUGACUAAACCUAACCAUGUUCAAGUCAUAAAUUCACAUUUCAAGUGCCAACACUAAAUUAAUUUCAAGUCAUGAAUUCACAUUUUCAAGUGAUUACACUUUACUAAUUUCAAAACACAAGUUCACCUUUCAAGUAACUACACAAAAUCAUUUUCAAGUCGCUAAUCCACUUCUCAAGUGACUACACUUGAUCAUUUUGAAGUCACUAGUACACAUUUCAAAACACUACACUUGACUAUUUUCAACUCUCUAAUUCACAUUUCAAGUGACUAAACUUAAUCAUUUUCAAAUCAUGAAUUCACUUUUCAAGUGUCAACACUAAACCAAUUUCAAGUCAUGAAUUCAUAUUUUCAAGUGAUUACACUUUACUAAUUAUUCUUAAUUACUCUUAGUUAUUCUUAAUGUAACACCAUAUACACCUAAUUUUGAAAACUACACUAGCCGUAAGCCUCGAAUGAACACUAAGAAAAAACAACAUAGCUGAUCAAUCGCUCCUUAAAAAUAAUAAGAUCAACACUCUUAGCCCUCACCUCCUCGCAAAGUACAUUUUUUCAACAAAACAAAGAAUCAUCAAUCUAAUUCAUAAUUCAAUUACAAUCAAUUGAAUAAAAAAAAUAGCCAACCAAGAAUGGGAAUAAGAAACCUCCCUUAAGGUCAAUGGUAAUUCGACCAGUGAAACCUGGAGGAAACUCCGAAUACCCCGAUAUCUCGAUUGGCUCAAUUCCCAAUAUUCAUAAUUCCAGCACCUACAUACAGAAAAACCAACACCCAAAUAACAAAUUUUAACAAAAAUAAAGAUCAAACAAACAAAUCUAAGUGCAUUGAGUAAAUGCACUAAACAUAUUAUUUUUGUCCAUUUUUUUUCUUUCUGAUUCACUCUUAUGUCCAUUUCUUACAAAGAAGAAGACAACAUAAAUAUGACAUUUCCAUUUACAUAUGUCAAGCACCGGAGUACUCAUGGCUGGUUUUUGAGUUCAGUUUCCAGCAAACUCUACUUUGUUUCUUCAUCUUUUGCAGUGGCGGUAGUUGAAGCCCUACAAAUCGGUGAGCUGUUCCCGAUGGUGGUCUUGUCGGUGACAAGCGGCAGCGAUAGCAACAUUUGAUUAUCCAUCAUCGGCGGUCAGUUUAUGGGGGGAGCGAGAAAGAGAAAGAAAGAAAGAUGGAGUUGCAGAGAGAGUGUAGUGAAGGGGCGGCUGAGUCUUUGCCAAAAAUGAGGGAUUAGGGUUUUCUUUUUGGUUUAAAAGGAAUGAGGAUAGGGUUUAUCCAGUCAUUAGAUCAACUGAUCAACGA
This 2470-nucleotide long non-coding RNA is filed under the name Capsicum annuum. RNAcentral describes it as "long non-coding RNA (CANN_LNC009595)". The record is from RNAcentral. Lineage: Eukaryota; Viridiplantae; Streptophyta; Magnoliopsida; Solanales; Solanaceae.